Molecule: non-coding RNA, 2492 nt
Organism: Microcebus murinus (gray mouse lemur)
Lineage: Eukaryota; Metazoa; Chordata; Mammalia; Primates; Cheirogaleidae
Source: RefSeq, a predicted model, not a curated record
AGGUUGCCUCAUUACAGGGAAGUCUCACCAAGAGGCAGCUUUAGUGUCAAAUGCUGGGAAGAUGAACACAAAAUGGGACGCUCCUGGUCCCUCCGGAGGGCUGCAUUUGGGGGAAGCAGUGCAUUUGGGGUCAGGGAUUGAAAUGUCAAGCCAGGAGUGGAGACAAGACGUGGACCACUGUCUUGGGCCAACAUCUCCCCCAGGGCCUCACCUGUCUCCCUGCAGCAUCCUUGGGGGAAGGAGGAUUUGGGAAAGGGAGUGAGGAGGGCUCUAGGUUCUGUGUCCAGGAGUGACCUAGUGGUCCCCGGUGUUCAGGGAUCUCUGCCCCCAGGGAACCAACUAUAUUCUCUGCCUUAGACUCAUCAGUCCUCAGUGUGGUGACUCUGAGAAAGUCACUUAACCUCUGUCAAUUUCAGUGCCCUGAACCAUAAAAUGGGAGUCACAGCUCCUACUCUGCCCACCCUACAUCACACGAGAUAGAUUUUUUAACAUGAGCUAUGAAGAGUCAGACCCCUGCCCAUGGGGAAGAGUGAGGGUCUCUCCUCCCCUGACCUGUCACCUCCCGUGUUCCCUCCCUGGAGGUCACCAGUGCUAAGUGUCUUGCUUAUUCUUCCAAAAAUUGAACACUUAUGUAGGUAUACUUAUGAUACAAGGCAUUUUCUUCAGGCUUUGUCUGUAUUUGCUCAUUUUUAGCCCCUUCACACAAUGGUGACAAGCAGAUCCCUCCUAUUCACAUUUCCACACCCCAGAGCAGGGGACGGAGGACAGAGGGGCUAAGGGACAUUCCCAGAGACACGUGGGUUUGAUCUCAGGUCAUCUGGCCCCAGCACCCACACCCUCAGUCACUGCGUUGUGCUGACUUUCUGCAUUGUCCCAUCUAAAUAAAAUGAUUAUUCCAACACUUUCUACAUUGUGUCAUCUAAAUAAAGUGAUUGGUCCCACACAAUCAGCCUGGGGGUAUUUGCAACACACACCGAUCUGCAAGACCUUCCCAAGCCCUGCUUGAGUUCAGGUGACUCCUCAGAUGUGUUUCCACUACUUUGCUGCAAGAAUGCAAAACAGAAAAGCAAAAGUUACUACUAAUGGAUUCAAACAAAGGUUGCACAUCGAUCCUCAGUGAAGAGAACACGCUGCCUGUCCCAGGAGUCUUUCAGCAGCAUCACGAGGAGCAUGUGGCCAAAUGACAGGGCUGAGCCUCAGGUGCCAUCCCGUACACCCUGCUCCACUGAUGCCACUGUGGGAUUCUUUCACUAAACCGAUUGAGAGCAGGCUUUCUGUUGGCCACUUGUUUGCCCCAGCUGUUAUCCACCACCUCAACUGUAACAAAGUGACACAUUUGCCUGUCAUUGUUUUUUGACAUUUGUGCCAGGGGAGAGGAUUUUUGCUCUGGGAAAACUCCAAAUCAGGGUAAAUACAGACAGUCUAACAAGUAGGAUGUUACAGGGUCCACCAGACAGGUUAAUGAGGGAUGACUCUUUAAAGAAAUGAGGUUUUGAGGGCAUUCCAGCCCCAUUCUGCUCUGCCCAGUGGCUGCCACGUUGCUGGUUUUCACCAGGGGCUUGGAGUUUUCUGAGCUACUUUGGGACUACAGGACAAAGGACGGUCGCCAUGGCUCAACAAUUUAAAGAAGCAAGUACAUGUGUCCUCUGCCUGUCUUAUCUUGAAAAACCCGUACGCCUCAGCUGUGGCUUUAUCUGCUGUCUGGAUGCAUCAGCACACUCCAGAAGGAGCCCAGUGGGGAAGGCGUCUCAUGCCCCUCCUGUCCCCUGGCCACUCAGAAGAACGACAUCCGGCCCAGUUACCAGCUGGGGAAGUUGGUUUCCACAAUCAAGGAGCUAGAGCCCCAGCUGAGAGCAGUUCUAUACCAGAACCCAAGAAUGCUGAAGUUCCAAGUGGACAUGACCUUGGACAUUGACACGGCCAACAAUGGACUCAUCAUUUCUGAUGACCUGAGGUCUGUCCGUUGCGGGCCACUCAGACAGAAUCGGAGGGAGCGUGCUGAGAGAUUCAAACGCGUAACAUGUGUCCUGGGAGCCCCUCGGUUCACGUCGGGACGCCAUUACUGGGAAGUGGACGUGGGGACAAGCAAAGAAUGGGACCUGGGUGUUUGCAAAGAAUCUGUCGAUCGACAGGGCCCAGUUCUACUGUCUUCGGCACUUGGCUUCUGGACUGUGGGUUUGAGAAAGGAAGUGCUCCUCGCAGCCAGCACUGUGCCCCUAACUGCCCCCCUGGUGAGUCCCCGGUUACGCCGAGUAGGCAUCUUCCUGGAUAUGGAUAUUGGAACCAUUUCCUUUUACAACGUUAGCGAUGGCUCCCACGUCUUUACAUUCACUAAGGUGUCUGUCGCAGAGCCACUGCGUGCAUUCUUUUCUCCUGCAUAUUCGGUUAACGACGAUCAAAGCCUCCUGACUAUCUGUCCCAUGACAAAUCUGGGCACUGCCAGAUCUCCCAAUCCAUCCUGAACAAGGCAAAUAAACGUCUAGCCACAAAAA